CGGAGAGUGGCGCAGCCUGGUUCAGCGCGCACGGUUCGGGACCGUGAGGUCGCGGGUUCAAAUCCCGCCUCUCCGACUA
RNAcentral lists this transfer RNA (79 nucleotides) under Candidatus Fraserbacteria bacterium. Its description in RNAcentral is "tRNA-Pro". It matches the Rfam family "tRNA". Rfam says of the family: Transfer RNA (tRNA) molecules are approximately 80 nucleotides in length. Their secondary structure includes four short double-helical elements and three loops (D, anti-codon, and T loops). The record is from RNAcentral. Lineage: Bacteria; Candidatus Fraseribacteriota.